GAUGAAGAACGCAGCGAAAUGCGAUAAGUAAUGUGAAUUGCAGAAUUCCGUGAAUCAUCGAAUCUUUGAACGCACAUUGCGCCCCCUGGUAUUCCGGGGGGCAUGCCUGUCCGAGCGUCAUUACAACCCUCAAGCUCAGCUUGGUGUUGGGCCCCGCCGCCCCGGCGGGCCCUGAAGUCAGUGGCGGUGCCGUCCGGCUCCGAGCGUAGUAAUUCUUCUCGCUCUGGAGGUCCGGUCGUGUGCUCGCCAGCAACCCCCAAUUUUUUUCAGGUUGACCUCGGAUCAGGUAGGGAUACCCGCUGAACUUAAGCAUAUCAAUAAGCGGAGGA
Molecule: unclassified non-coding RNA, 329 nt
Filed under: soil metagenome
Description: partial contains 5.8S ribosomal RNA, internal transcribed spacer 2, and large subunit ribosomal RNA
Rfam family: 5.8S ribosomal RNA (bases 1-120)
Source: RNAcentral